UAUUAGAAAGCAAUAUAAUGCCUUAGUCUUUUAAACUAUCUAUAAUAAAUUAAAAUUUAUUCUAAUAA
RNAcentral lists this transfer RNA (68 nucleotides) under Siboglinum ekmani. Its description in RNAcentral is "tRNA-Lys". The record is from RNAcentral. Lineage: Eukaryota; Metazoa; Annelida; Polychaeta; Sabellida; Siboglinidae.